Molecule: ribosomal RNA, 403 nt
Filed under: Actinomycetes bacterium
Lineage: Bacteria; Bacillati; Actinomycetota; Actinomycetes
Description: Actinobacteria bacterium partial 16S ribosomal RNA
Rfam family: Bacterial small subunit ribosomal RNA
Source: RNAcentral
UGGGGAAUAUUGCACAAUGGGGGAAACCCUGAUGCAGCGACGCCGCGUGAACGAAGAAGGUAUUCGUAUCGUAAAGUUCUGUCCUAUGGGAAGAUAAUGACAGUACCAUAGAAGAAAGCUCCGGCUAAAUACGUGCCAGCAGCCGCGGUAAUACGUAUGGAGCGAGCGUUGUCCGGAAUUAUUGGGCGUAAAGGGUACGCAGGCGGUUUAAUAAGUCGAAUGUUAAAGAUCGGGGCUCAACCCCGUAAAGCAUUGGAAACUGAUAAACUUGAGUAGUGGAGAGGAAAGUGGAAUUCCUAGUGUAGUGGUGAAAUACGUAGAUAUUAGGAGGAAUACCAGUAGCGAAGGCGACUUUCUGGAAACAAACUGACGCUGAGGUACGAAAGCGGGGGGAGCAAACAGG